UACAGUACUGGUUCACGUCAUGUUAUCACACAGGUCCCUUCCCCAGGGCUCCCACAGGAAGGGUCUGUGUCGAGGGCGCUGCAUGCCAUGUAUCACAACCGCCUUAUGGUGAAGGGGAAAAAAAUUGCAAUACAUUCCAUCUGUGAGCGGCUGAUUAGCCAUCAUUGCCAUACAGCUGUGGGGGAACUAAUGAUUGGUUUGGCCGUUGUAGCAGGGGGGUCCAAAUUGAUUGACGGACGUAGCUCCAGUAUACUCCUGAACACUCCUGGACAGACCAGUCUUCUGUGGCUGCAGGGCCGAGUCCGCCGACGGCGUCAUGCGCGUGUAGGGUCGGACAGCCGAGGUAAACAAAAUGUUUGUUUAUGCUUGUUGUUAUCGUUCUGUUGCUUGAUUGUGGUUAAACAUUUCUUUGUUUCAUUACAGUUUUGCCUCUGUUGCCUUGUCUUUUUGCUUGUUUAUUUUGUUGUUUCUUUCUUUUAGUUUGUAAUUGUUUUGCCUAGUUUUGUAUCAGUUUGCUUGGUUAGAGUUUAGUUUCGUUUCUCCCCGUGUGUGUGUUUAUCUUUAGGUUGUUGUGGCUGGUUCUCUGGCUCAGUAAUCAGGUUUCUCCCCUCCAUAGCGGCGUAGGGCCUGUGUGACUGUCAGUUUUAAUAACUGC
This is a long non-coding RNA of Amphiprion ocellaris (clown anemonefish), 655 nucleotides long. Lineage: Eukaryota; Metazoa; Chordata; Actinopteri; Pomacentridae. The record is from Ensembl.